Molecule: long non-coding RNA, 3015 nt
Filed under: Homo sapiens (human)
Lineage: Eukaryota; Metazoa; Chordata; Mammalia; Primates; Hominidae
Description: HSALNT0181488
Source: RNAcentral
GUUGAGUUACAGCACCAAGAGCACCCUGGGCUAUAAGGGAACUAGAAUGCAGUUGUUAGCAGCAGCGAAUCUGCAUGGGUCUGCAGCAACCUCAAGUCUCCUCAGAAGAAAGAAUUUGACCAAGGGGCAUAAGGCAGAAGGAGAGACCCGGGCAAGCUUCAGAGCAAGAGUGGAAGUUUAUUAAAAAGCUUCAGAGCAGGAAUGAAAGAAAAGUACACUUGGAAGAGAGCCAAACAGGUGACUUGAGAGAUCAAGUAAAACCUCAUUAACGUAACUGCAACAAUGAAGACAUUACCUAAUCAAUGGAAGCAGAGAGGAAUAGCUGCUGUCAAUUACGCUAUACCUGUACAAGACAAAUUUCUCACCCAACCUCCUUGCCCUUGGCUGAAUCAUCCAAUCCUGAACUUCCAUGGAGAAGAGAGAAGUCCAUGGACAGGGAUUUUCCUCAUCAGCUGCUCCUGACCACAGUAUUGGGGUUUGAGUGCUCAAGGUGCCCCUAAGGAACCAUCCCAAGGGUAUUUUCCCUAGAGGUCUCUUAAGAGUUGGGUGAAAUUUAAGAAGAGCAAGCUGCCUUCCAUCUGCUAUCCCCGGGGUCAUGUGCCCCCAGAUGGUGCAGGAUGAGUGGGGGCAAAGGGCAAGGGGGAAGUAUGUCAACUGGAACAUCACAGAAGUCUAAAUAAGGACUGUUCUGUUUGCCAUCCAUCUCUUAAUUUUUUGAUCUCACUAAAGGAAUACAACCCUAUAAUAAACACUCCAGCCUUACAUAAAUAAGCACCAGCUUGCAACUGCCUCUGUAGCCAGCUCACUGGAUUCCUGAGAUUAAGAACACAGGCUCUAUCUCGACUGAGGUACAAGGUUGUUAAAAUGUGGACAGAUUGGAGCGCUACAAAAAUGUGGCAUGGAAGAAAUGCCUGUCCAGAGUCUGACUGUGUCACCCAGGCUGGAGUGCAGUGGCGUGAUCUCGGCUUACUACAACCUCUGCCUCCUGGGUUCAAGCAAUUCUCCUGCCUCAGCCUCCAGAGUAGCUGGGAUUACAGCACCCCUCCCACAAGCUAGCAGGAGGGUGGAAGUGAGGAUGAAGGAUCCUUGUGGAAGCUGAGUCCAGCCCAGGAUGCCUCUGCCCACUUCUGCUCUGCUCUUAGCACAGGUGCCUGGCUCCCACCUGUUGAGUUACAGGCCACUGACUUCCAAGUCAGGCCAGGAGGUCAGUCAUCUUUUCCACCGAUCCUCUGCCCUGAGCUGAGUUAUCUCGCACAAGUGGUACCCACUGGACCCCGUAGCUCUGGCCCUGCUGGAACUCCCUCGCAGCUUAGCAGGGGUUUUAAAUCUGGCCCAUGAGGCCUUGUCAGUUUCAAGAGCCCCCCCUGACCUUUUAAUAAACAUUUCCUUUGUUAUCAGAAUUAUUUCCUAAUUCAUUCCCUUCUGUCCCUGAAAAUCUAAAUCCUAUUUAAGUUAAUGCCCUUCAUUUUCAUUUAUAAAGACAGAUACAAAAUAAUUAUUUCCUAUCUCCGUGGUUUCCUUAUCUCCCGUCCUAAUAAUGCCUUCAGCAGAUGAACAUUCCCUGUCAGUUGAAACAGUUGGAGUGUUUGUUUUUUUCACUCUUUAAAGAAGAAAAAUAAAAUGCUUUCUCAGGCUUUGUCUCUUCUCUUCUCCUCUCUCCUCUUUUCUCUUUCUGCCUUUCUCGGCUCUUUUCUUCUCACUAUCUGCUUUUCUCCCGGGCGCCCCCUCUCCCUCUUCUGACCCCCACAGUGACCCUUUCUCUCCCUCUCCUGCACCCUCUCCUGCUGUCCUGGCCCUUGCCCAGCCCAGUGUUGCUGGGCGCCUCUCAUUUUCCUGUCCGUAGUGCAAUUUCUCUGCGGCCUCACAUCUGAAUUUCAUCAGCCCAUGAGCCUGCCUUUGAGCUCAGGUCCCCCCAGCUAGUAAAACUGGUUUGGAUGAGCAGACGCAGUCUCGAAAAGAAACAUUCUUUGGUUUCCUCUCAUGACAACUAGUGAGCAGAGAAUUCACAGUUCCCUUCUCCGGGCGCCUCUUUGAAGUGUUUGAUUGAAAGGAGAGGGGAUGGAAAGGAAUGGGGUGAUGGGGGUUGGUAGUGGCGGGAACAAGGAUUCCAGCUUUAACUAGCAACUCUGAAACCAGCGACCCAGACUUCCGGCGACCCUCUCUGUUCCUUGCCCAUCUGGGUAGGGGAGAUGCUGACUGAUUUUUGGCUAUCUGCACCAGAUCCAGUCUUCCACCCUCCUCUCUUUUGUUUUCCAGUAAAACUCAACACACAAUUUAAAUCCAGGGUUUGGGAGAAAGUCAUUAAUAGAGUAGCUGAUUUUAAGGGAACUGGUUCUGUUCUCAGAAAGCAGUUGUUCAAAUCCUAACCAUUAGCACAUGCUGAAUGCCUUCUAUAUGCCAGCUAUGUAAAUGAUUUCAUUUACUUCUCAUGAGGACCCUGUGACCUAGCAGCUACUGUUUCCCCAUUGUAUGGAUGAGGAAACUGAGGCUCAGAAAGACUGGGAAACUUGCUCACAGCCCUCGACCAGCAGAGGUACAACCAGGCCUCGAAUCCAGGUUUUGCUUCAUAUCCCUCACUCUCUGACAUACAGGCCUUCAAGAGAAAGGAUUUCUGUCACUCCUCUGGCUUUAAAGUCUUUGUCAAGGCCAAGAAGGAACUAUGAAGAACUCUUCUGUGACGGUAUCUAACAGGUGGUCUCUGAGCUCUUUUAUCUUUGGUAGAGAAUGCAGAUUACUAGGCACAAAGAUUUAAAAAAACCCACGAGAGAAAAAUGUUUGAAAGCAUGGUGCUACAGAGAGGUCAAGGACUAAUGGAUGGGGAACGGAAUGUACCUACAUCAAGUCCCUUCAUUUUAUAGUCAGGGAAACUGAGGCCUAGCAAGAGCUGGGUCUCACUCCUGCCUUCACUUAGCUCAGCAGCUAAGACUUGCUGAACCCACAAAGAGCUUUCCUUCAUCAUCUGGAGGGAGAUACGGAAGCCACCUAGGGGUUACCCCAGAGAGGCCAGGAGACUUA